Molecule: long non-coding RNA, 2640 nt
Filed under: Prunus persica (peach)
Lineage: Eukaryota; Viridiplantae; Streptophyta; Magnoliopsida; Rosales; Rosaceae
Description: long non-coding RNA (PPER_LNC007237)
Source: RNAcentral
AGGAAUCAAAGAAUUUAGGAAUCGGAGAACUACUGAAUCGGUAUGGGAAGAAUAAUUCUCAUUAAGUUGUUUACUAAACAUAUGGAAUUAGCAAAGGAAUGAGGUUGAUUCCCAUUGUUAUUGUUUACUAAUUUUCAUGAAUCAGAAUCCAAAUUAAUUUGAUUACUAAAAUGCCCUGCACAUUUUCACCACAGCACGUAUAUAAUUCUCAAAUUUGCUAAGGAGACCAAACUAAUCCUGCAACAAACUAGUAAGGCGGUGCAAACAUGAGGAAUCAAUAUGCUGAACAAGAUGAACAGCAAGAGCCCAGUUCAAUGAUAAUGUUAAUAACACCUUUGCCCAGAGCCAAUUUCAAACGAAAAAAUAAACUCCAAUAAAUAAAUAAAUAAAUAAAUAAAUAUAUAUAUAUAUAUCUUUCACCUACGUAACUAGUAAACAAUCAAAUAAUAAUAACCUGCAUAAUCUUCAUACAUUAAAUACAUGGAACUUCUUGGAAAUGAGUUUUUAUUUAUUUUUUAUUUUUUAUUUUUUAUUUAUAGGGUUGGAGCAUCUUGGAACUUUUUUGCGUGAGUUUUUUUUUAUUUAUUUAUUUUUAUUUAGGGUUUGGGGUGUUUUGGAAUUAUGGUAAAGUGGUAAUGGUAUUUUUGAAAGUUACUAAGAGAAAACAAGAAUGGGAAUCGUAUCGACUACUCCCCCCUAGUUGAUUUGAUACCUAGUUCUGAGGGGAUGUGAUUAUGAAUUUUGAGAUAGGGCCCAUUUAUUUUUUCAUUCUUGAUUGCAAGUAAAUAUAGGGGAAGUCAGGAAUGGAAAUCAUUGCAUUUCCUCUCAUACCUAUUACUGAUACGUAAACGUGCCCUAAAGAUCUAAAAGGAGGUGGGUUUAUGGUAUUGAAGAAUAUAUAGGCUUCAGACGGAAGCCAAUAAGCUAAUAAGUGUUUGAGGAAUUUGGCAGUGAUAGAUUUCCAUGGCAAUAAGUUGGGGGAAAGGCCUUCGUUGUUCAGCCUACUGGUUGCUGCAGAAUUUUCUUUUUUCCUUUUUAUGUUUUUUUUUAAAAAAAAAUCUUUUUAUUUUUAUUUUUAAAGAUAGAAAUAAGUGGUAAAUCCAGUUGUAAACAAAAUAUACACAUGGCAAAUUUUAAGUGGGGAGUAUCACUAGCUGACGUGGUGAUACGAUGUCAUUCUAUAAUUUCUCCAUGUGGACAAGAAGAAUAUCACCUACAUUGAGAGAGAGAGAGAGAGAGAGAGAGAGAGAGAGAGAGAGAGUAUCAACCAUGGCAAUUUAUUAGGUCUACUAAUGAUGAUUCUCUAGCCUCCUUUUAAUGUUUAAGGUUGUGUUGAGAAAUUGUAAGGUAAAGAGAUAUGAAAGAUGGGAAAAAAAAGGAAGAUGAGCGACAACCAUGAUAGGCUGUGGGGGUGGGGGGACUUGUCGGCAAGGAAGGAAGGGUUGGGGCUGCUUUUUUUUUUCCUUCCAGUUUUUUUUUUUUUUUUUAAAUUUAAAUUUUAAAUAAGACACAUGACAAACUUUGAAUGGAAAUAUCACUAACUGACGUAGUGAUACAAAACCAUUCUAUAAUUUCUCGUCCACAUAACGUCUUAUAAUUGAAAGCCGGAAUAUUUAUUCCCACAUUAGGCAUGGCGGCCCAUAUGGUUUUUCAUGUCCCAUGGUAGCACAUCUUUCCAUGUGGAGUUUCUAUGAGCCAUGGUGUUUUGUUUUGCUUUCUGUGCUUGACGUGUAGACUGAAACCCACGUGAAGAUUGAAGCCAACCAUGGAGAAAUGGAUGACAAACCAAGGCCCAUGCAAGUUGAUGGCAAAGUAGGCGUCAAUCCUUUCGAAGCAGCAAUAGUUGAGGCAAAUAAUUUUAUUUGAAAAACAUCUUUUGAGACUCAUACAAAUUUUAUUUCAAUAAUAUAAAUUAUUUAUUUUUUAAGUCUUUAUUUAUACCUACUGAUACUUCUCUUUUUGAUGAUAAAAGAAGUUUUAAAUUACAAUCUUCCCACUCCCCAAUGAUCUGAAAAUGUUAAACAUAGAGUAAUUGAUAUAAGUCUUUCCCAAAUUUUGAAUUCUUAAUUUAGCUCAACUAAAAAAAAAACAUUGAAAAUCCUUGAAUGUGAUCAAAUAAAAACGACGAUGAUAAAUAAUCAAAUGACCAAGCUAUUUGUGAUAGGUUUUCUAUUUUAAUUUUUUUUUUUUCUGGUUACGUGAAGCUCGACCCUUCUUUACAUUACAUUUCCAAACCGAAAGCUAAAGUUGUGUUGAUUAAAAAACAAGCACAUCUGUCUGUCUCCUUUCAGAAGCCGAAGAAAUGGAAAAUGCCAUUAGACGUCGGUUUCAGCUUUCAAUUCAAAGGCCUAGUUUUGUACAAUGCAGCAAACAUUGCCUUUGUGGGGUGGCAAGUCUUAGCUUAGGGCGUUUAUUAUUGCUUUGCUUCACACUGCUUAGAUUUCCUCAUACUUUAAACCAAGUUGCAUCGAAUAUUUCUAAAUUGUUCUGUAUGGAAGUCCAAGUGCCAAGAAAAGGUAUAAUUAUGAUUCAUAAUUUACCAAUAUUAUAAUUUGUGUCAAACAAAGGUCCUUCGGUAGAGGAUCCUUAACUAUUAUUUAUCAUCAAAAGAUACGAGUUAUUUUAUAGCGAGAGUCUUAU